CAGGUGGAUCUCUGUGAGUUUGAGGCCAGCCUGAUCUAUAAAACGAGUUCCAGGACAGCUAGAGCUACAUAGUGAAACCCUGUCUCAAAACAACAACAACAACAACAACAAAAAAGAGUAGUUUGAAGGAUAGUUAUUUUGAUGGUUUCCUAAUCUUGUUUUGUUUUCUAGACAGGGUUUCUCUGUGCAACAUCCCUGGCUGUCCUGGAACUCACAGAGAUCCACUUGCUUCUGCCUCUGGGAUUAAAGGCAUGUUCCACCACUGUGGGGCCCCUAAUCUUUUCAGUGAUCUUGUAUUAAGGGACUUGAAAUAAUCCUUUUAGCAAAUAGUUGCCUCACACUUUCUACAUUGGAGGAAUCAAUACAGUGCUUGUAGAAAAUGUUGUAUCAACGUUCUGUCUAUUGUCUAGUUUCAAGUAUUCCAUUAGCACUCAGGAAAAUGAUGUGUGUGUGUAUGUAUAUUCAUUUCCAGCUUAAGAACCACAUGUGCUCUUGAAAGGGCUAAAUUUAAGCCAGGAAACCAGAUUUAAGAAUAGGAAGUUUUAGCCAGGUGGUGGCGGCGGCGGUGGCGCAUGCCUUUAAUCCCAGCACACGGGAGGCAGAGGCAGGUGGAUCUGAGUUCAAGGCCAGCCUGGUUUCCAGAGCAAGUGCCCAGAUAGGCUCCAAAGCUACACAGAGAAACCCUGUCUCAAAAAAAACAAAAAAUAUGAAAGAAGUCUGAUUGUGUUUUGGAAAAUUCAGGAAGUGAGCAUGUAUUUAAAUCAUUAUUGCAAAUUGGAAUAAAACCAUAUAUUACUAGAGUUCAGCUAUGAACAACACAAGUCACUGAACAAGUUUUAAGUGGCAUCAGCAAGGAUGAGCUAAAUUACCAGCAAUCCGGUUUUUACCUUAUUUACAUGUUUAUCAAAUCAAAUUAAUUUUUCUUCCAACAAAAGGGCUCAUUGUGGCCUUACGCCAGGCUCCCCAGAUCCCUUUAGUAAGCGCUGAGUGCCCAUGCUGAGACUAGACUCUUGAGCCUGGUGCUUGUUAACUGCUGUAUCUAAAGCAAUGAUUAAACUCAGAUUUGCUUAAUGGUUAAGUCUCUUCGUUUUAACCCAGCUAUGUUAGACAUUAAAGAAGGCUUUCUCUCAGUCCAUAUGCAUCUGCUUUGUCUGGUGGUUUCUGUCAUCCUGGAAAGACUGACUUAUUGGUGAGGGCAGCUGGACAACUCUGAGACAACUUAGAACAAUACAUCUUGGGCACACUCCAAGGACUUCUCUGGAGAUAGUGCCUCAUGUUUAAGUGCAGAAAACAGGACACCUUCCUGGACCUACUGCUUCCUGCUUCCAGCACCCUGAUGCCUGAAGUGUGUAGAAUUUGACAACAGUAUCGAGAGCUGAGGAGAGAGAGAAGAUGGAAAGGAGUCUAGCAAGUAAAAAAUGUCGUAGCAUUCUCUGUGUGGUGACCUUUUUCCUGUUGGUGGCUCGAUUUGUUUAGGAGCUAAAGAAGAUGCGACCUCUACCAGCACAUCAUGUCGUACUUGAGUUUGUCAAACAUUGCCCCCUGCCUACUUUGUAUGCUACAGUUUGCUUCCCAUGUUCAGCACUGACUCACUGUUUCCUGGCAAUAUUUGAAACCCUGCAUGGCCACCAUCGGUCCUGAAAGACUGGCUUCUUAUAGGAGUGGGAGGUUCAGGGCUUAUUCAUGGAAAUCUGGUCUAUUUACAAAACAGUUUUCACAGAAGAGAAGUAGAUGUGUUCCAGAUAAAAAGUUGAUUAAAUCAUUCUAUAUGGUGUGUUAUUAAUUAAAAUUUCAACUAGUUUUUUCGUCUUA
This is a non-coding RNA of Cricetulus griseus (Chinese hamster), 1812 nucleotides long. The record is from RefSeq and is a predicted model, not a curated record. Lineage: Eukaryota; Metazoa; Chordata; Mammalia; Rodentia; Cricetidae.